AAUUGUCCUGGAAACAAGCGUUGCUGUCAGUCGGGGCCGUACAUGACACCCUGUACUUGGGGAGUCUUGCAAGCUUUGGCCAAAAGCCUAGACUUGACAGGGAUGGGAAGGGGGAGGAGAGGAAGGCAAUACUGACUGUUUCUCUGUCUUUUCUUUGGCUACCCUUUCUUUCCUACUUGAGUGAAAGUAGCUACUGGAUUGAGAAGCAUUUGAGCAGGAUUUACUAACUGCUGUGCCACCUGCUUCUCCACAAACCUGGCAGAAUCCAAUUUUUCUUCUUCUUCACAAGCUUUUCGAAGAAAUAAACAGGUAAUCAGUUUUAACCAGAGAUUUAUUUCAUCUCGUUGCCUCACCAAUGUUUUGAACAUUCCAUAGCAGUUGUGCAUGAAAUGUGCUGUUUCAUUACAAUUAUUAUUGUGAAUUAUUCACAAGUAUGGGGAGAAUUCCCACUCACCACGGUCACCUUCCAGGGCAGUGGUUUCCAUGUGUGCUGAGCCAUGAUGUCUGUGCCCAGACAGAUGCUCCUCGUGGGCAGUGAGAAGGAGCACACUGAACAGGAGCUGAUUCCUAGGCUGUCUGCUGACAAGUGACCCUGGAGGCAAGGCCAGCACAGGGUGGAGGAGCAGGACUCAGCUCCCUCUCCACACCCCGUGUCUGGUAUUGCUCAGUGCAGGGGCUGCCUGAGCAUGGCAUGGGGCAGGCACAGUGUGCUCGCCCUCCUUCCCCUCCAGCAGCCUUUUGCACAGACCUGCUGAAUGGAUGGGAGGAGGGAAAAGAAACAGGAACUUCUCUUUGGAAUCACAUCAUCCCAAAACUGAGAGAAGAAGCGAAAGUUAAAUAAAAGGGACUGUUUUUAGCAAAGGCUGUUUAACUUCCUAACCUCACAAGCUGAAGACACGAGGAAACAAGAACAGAAGACUGCAGGACCUGAAUGUAAUCGCAGGCGUUCACUUGAGGCUUCUUUCAACACCCCGCUCUGCAGUACAGGUUUAAUAUUUGCACUGUUAUUCUGAUUGAUACUUCUUUCUCAUAUGAACUUACUGGGGAGAAAAGGUGCUUCCUGAGGGGACCUACAGCUGUGCAUCCAGAACAGACACAGUAAAGUAUCUGUAACCUCAACAUGACAGGAAAAAACUUUGCUCUGCCAACACCA
Molecule: non-coding RNA, 1153 nt
Organism: Sturnus vulgaris (Common starling)
Lineage: Eukaryota; Metazoa; Chordata; Aves; Passeriformes; Sturnidae
Source: RefSeq, a predicted model, not a curated record